RNAcentral lists this ribosomal RNA (305 nucleotides) under uncultured bacterium. RNAcentral describes it as "bacterial SSU rRNA". It matches the Rfam family "Bacterial small subunit ribosomal RNA", at positions 335 to 637 of the family's 1533-position model. The record is from RNAcentral.
GGUCCUACGGGGCACAGCAGUGAGGAAUAUUGGUCAAUGGGCGGAAGCCUGAACCAGCCAAGUCGCGUGAGGGAUUAAGGCCCUGCGGGUCGUAACCCUCUUUUGCCGGGGAGCAGUGGUCCGGACGCGUCCGGACCGGGAGAGUACCCGGAGAAAAAGCAUCGGCUAACUCCGUGCCAGCAGCCGCGGUAAUACGGAGGAUGCGAGCGUUAUCCGGAUUUAUUGGGUUUGAAGGGUGCGUAGGCGGGCAUUUAAGCCGGCGGUCAAAUGUCGGGGCUCAACCCCGGCCUGCCGUCGGAACUGUG